ACACGCAGGGCGCCGACUGGGGGUUUCUGUGGAUCUUCACAUCUGUGAAGACACCACAACACUGCUUCAUUGCUCGUGAAACUUCAGCGUUGCAAAGCAUUCCCAACUGGUGGCUGGAGACUUGAACACAGAUCCUUGAGCAUGGCGAAGUGUGUCCUCUAUCAGGAACUUCACCACUCCAGGCCAGUUUUUCAGAUAGAAAGAGAGAGAAAGGGAGAGAAGGAGAGGGGGAGAGGAGGAGAGACCACAGCAUGAAAGCAUCCCCCAGUGUCUUCGCACUCCCGUGUGGAGCCAGGGAGCUCAAACUCGAAUCAUUCACCAGGCAGAGCAGAUGCUGUCCAGGUGCGCUAGCUCAUCACUUCCUGUAUUUUCUACAAGACCUGAAGGAAUAACGAAAGCGAUCUGUGCUUAGUUGUUACAAGCAGAGUGAUCCCAAAUUUUGUUAAUU
Long non-coding RNA from Erinaceus europaeus (western European hedgehog), 448 nucleotides. RefSeq lists it as uncharacterized. The transcript is spliced from 3 exons. The record is from RefSeq and is a predicted model, not a curated record. NCBI's taxonomy places the organism in Eukaryota, Metazoa, Chordata, Mammalia, Eulipotyphla, Erinaceidae.